AAAAAACACAUGUUUUAUAUCACUUUAUGUCCUUUACACCAAAUUGAGUUAAAUUACUCAGUUAUGUUUAUUUAAUGCAAGGGUAUAAUUGGCAUUUUACUUUUUUACCUUAUUCAUCGCCCUUUUAUAACCCCUUUAUCUGCAUCUUCUUCCUCAAUUAGGGUUUUUUCAAGGUUUCGAAAAUGGUGCUUUGUGGGUGUGGAAAGGAAGCAUCGAUUCGAACAUCAAAAACCUCCAAGAAUCCAGGCCGUAAGUUCUAUGGAUGCCACGACAAGAAUAGAAAAUGUGGGUUUUUUUUUAUGUGGAUUGAACCACAAAAAAUGUGUCAAACUUGCAUCGACAUCAUACCCGAUUUGUGAAGUUCAAGAAUGAGUAUCAAGAACAAAGAAAAAGAGUUGAAGAAAAAAAAAAGCAAGAAGUUGGAAGAAUUACCUGAUUUGCAGCUGGAUCUUAUUUUUUGUCUAUGUUUUUGUAUUCUGUCAAUGAACUGUUGUAGCUAUAAUGUAUUGACUUUUGUUUAGUAAUGGAAUGGUGUUGUAGACUA
Molecule: long non-coding RNA, 544 nt
Organism: Helianthus annuus (common sunflower)
Lineage: Eukaryota; Viridiplantae; Streptophyta; Magnoliopsida; Asterales; Asteraceae
Exons: 2
Source: RefSeq, a predicted model, not a curated record